GGUGCCAAUGACCUCCGUCGUUCCAGACUCUAACUGUUCACAUUAACUUCCAAAAUGUGAGCUCGGUGUCCGGGCAGCUGAAUCUCUGAGCAGCCAACUCUCCAGGAGGAUAAUGUAGGCCUCGGGAUACAAUAUUUGGACUACGAUUAUGCAUGAUAUAGUAUGCACAAUGAUCAGCUUGCCGCCUCACAGCACAGCAAUCUUGGGUUCGAUUCCCACCAUGGCCCUAUCUGUCUACAGUUUGUAUCUUCUUCCCCUGCUUGCGUGGGUUUCCUCUGGGUACUCCGGUUUCCUCCCACAAUCCAAAAAUAGACUGCUUAUAGAGGUGGAAAAUAAGAGCACAGCGACUGAUCGGACAGCAGAGGCAUAGGUCCCGCUAUGGAGGAGAGGGCAUGUUCCAGAUCUCUUUACAUCGAGACCAUACACAAUACCCAUAAUGCACCAGUUGCCCAACUAUCCAACUCUCUUGCUUCCAUUUUUGUCUGUAGACCUGAUAUUUAUUUAUACAUGUUAGAGACUGGAGCACACCGUGGUCUGUCUCCGUUCCAGCGCUAGAGGCAGUUUCCCUGCUCUAGCGUUUACCCUCUAGUGUCAGCUCAAUGCGGGAGGAGGUGCCUGAUGUAUACUGUCUGGGCGGGACUGCGCGCUUCUUCCUGUGUUCUUCCUGGGAGAGACAAACUGCACGGACGUGCAGCUUCUACUCUCCUGCAUAGUGUGACCUUGACCGCAGCCGCACCCUGCAUAUGUGUAACCACUGUGAAACCGCUUUACUGCAUUACCAGCUUAUUGUAAGUUCCUGCUGCUGCAGAACCUCUUCUGUGUACAAUGAACUGUUAACUCUG
Pseudophryne corroboree (corroboree frog) is the source of this 842-nucleotide long non-coding RNA. RefSeq lists it as uncharacterized. The transcript has 3 exons. The record is from RefSeq and is a predicted model, not a curated record. Lineage: Eukaryota; Metazoa; Chordata; Amphibia; Anura; Myobatrachidae.